This 1101-nucleotide long non-coding RNA is filed under the name Lupinus mutabilis. RNAcentral's name for it is "partial ncRNA". The record is from RNAcentral. Lineage: Eukaryota; Viridiplantae; Streptophyta; Magnoliopsida; Fabales; Fabaceae.
ACUUACUAGUGAGGUCCAUGAGGUAGAUGUACACAAAUUUUCUCUCGCAUAUGAAAAAGUUAUUUUUCGGUAUUUGAACUCACGAUCUCCAGGUUAGAAAGCAAAUAACAUUAUCAUUGUGACUAGACUCACCCUCGAUCUUAUUCCAUAUGUAAAAACACAUGAAUUAUAUAUAUGUUAAAGAUAUGUUUAUGUAAGAAGUUAAACAAAACAUACUUGGACUGUUGUAACAGCUUAUCAUCAAUACCUCUCUGUGAAUCACAUGAUUAACUAGCUACCUUGCCUAUAUAAAGGCCCUAAUAACUUGUCAAAGUAAACCAAACCAUUUGCAUACACAACUAGUGCUUAGUUAAGAAACUCUUGCAACCAUGUCUUCUUUCAGUUUCUCACCAUUCAUUGUAGCACUUGUGCUUCUAACAUUUGCAUACACAGAUGCACGUCACUUACUACAAUCACUGCCUGUGCCACUGCCAUCAUUGCCAGUGCCAGUGCCAUCAUUGCCUGUGCCAGUGCCUUCAUUGCCUGUGCCACUGCCAUCAUUGCCAGUGCCAUCACUGCCUUUGGUCCCAACCUUACCAAUUCCUAAUGUGCCAGUGGCACUUCCACCACUUCCUAAUGUGCCAGUCCCCGGUGUACCAAUCCCUCAAGUUCCAAAAAUCCCUCAAGUUAUUGAAGUUGAGUUGCCAACAUUGGCUAAGCCACAGUUACCUGAAGUUCCUAAAGUUGAGCUUCCACCAGUUGUGCCUGCAAUACCAAAGAUACCUGAUGUACCUUCAGUAGUUCCAGUUCCUCACUUGCCUAUUCCUUAAACUACUAUAUACUUUGGUUUACUAAACUCUUCUGUAUAAUUAUUGUAUUAUUUAUAAUUUGUUGUUGCCAUCUCAGGGUUGCUCUAUUAAAUUAUGUUAUCUUCAGUUUUUAUGUUGUUGUACUAUGUUCUACUGGAGCAUAUUGAUUGUGAUAUGUAAUGUAUUAGAGUUUCAUUAUUUCAGUUCAAUGUAAUCUUCAAUUUCUGAAUAUUGUGAUCAUUGAUGCAAAAUUUCUUCCAGCAUAGUCAAAUUCAGUGUGUGUGUGUGUAUAUGUAGACAAGCACAAAGUUGG